AUGCUCCGGUCUGAUUUUGCGGUGCACGCGGAGCUGCUGGGCUCUGAUCUUCACUGCAUGACUUCCUCCCAAGUGGAGGACUCAAUUAAGACGCGUCGCAAGGUCUCUGACUGCUUGCAAGGCUGGCUGGUGCGUGUUGGAAGUUUUCUAGAGCGUGCGGAGGUUGCUCUACAAAGGCUCUCUUUACCAGCACCCUUGGAUGAGGUGGGUGUGUAUCUCUUUGGUAGCCUCUUGCCUCAUGUUGGGUCCAAUUCGAUGCCCCCUGUAUUAUCAGACUUUGAGGGUGAGACCCCCGCCAAGGUUGUGUCUGAUGACCCAAAAGUAUAG
Molecule: ribosomal RNA, 327 nt
Filed under: Triticum aestivum (bread wheat)
Lineage: Eukaryota; Viridiplantae; Streptophyta; Magnoliopsida; Poales; Poaceae
Description: partial small subunit ribosomal RNA
Source: RNAcentral